This 467-nucleotide ribosomal RNA is filed under the name uncultured bacterium. Its description in RNAcentral is "partial 16S ribosomal RNA". It matches the Rfam family "Bacterial small subunit ribosomal RNA", at positions 28 to 507 of the family's 1533-position model. The record is from RNAcentral.
GAUGAACGCUGGCGGCGUGCUUAACACAUGCAAGUCGAACGGAAAGGCCCAAGCUUGCUUGGGUACUCGAGUGGCGAACGGGUGAGUAACACGUGGGUGAUCUGCCCUGCACUUCGGGAUAAGCCUGGGAAACUGGGUCUAAUACCGGAUAGGACCACUUCUUGGAUGUUGUGGUGGAAAGUUUUUUCGGUAUGGGAUGAGCUCGCGGCCUAUCAGCUUGUUGGUGGGGUAAUGGCCUACCAAGGCGUCGACGGGUAGCCGGCCUGAGAGGGUGUACGGCCACAUUGGGACUGAGAUACGGCCCAGACUCCUACGGGAGGCAGCAGUGGGGAAUAUUGCACAAUGGGCGCAAGCCUGAUGCAGCGACGCCGCGUGGGGGAUGACGGCCUUCGGGUUGUAAACUCCUUUCGCUAGGGACGAAGCGUUUUGUGACGGUACCUGGAGAAGAAGCACCGGCUAACUACGUG